GCGGCGGACGGGUGAGUGACACGUGGGCAACCUGCCUUGAGGAGGGGGAUAACAGGAUGAAAGUCCUGCGUAAUACCGCAUAACCCGAUGCUGUCGCAUGAUGGCAUCGGCAAAGGAGCAAUCCGCCUCAAGAUGGGCCCGCGGCGCAUUAGCUAGUUGGUGGGGUAACGGCCUACCAAGGCGACGAUGCGUAGCCGACCUGAGAGGGUGAUCGGCCACAUUGGAACUGAGACACGGUCCAGACUCCUACGGGAGGCAGCAGUGGGGAAUAUUGCACAAUGGGCGAAAGCCUGAUGCAGCAACGCCGCGUGAGCGAUGAAGGCCUUCGGGUUGUAAAGCUCUGUCUUCGCUGACGAAACCUGACGGUAAGCGAGGAGGAAGCCACGGCUAACUACGUGCCAGCAGCCGCGGUAAUAC
RNAcentral lists this ribosomal RNA (417 nucleotides) under Fervidicella sp. AN005. Its description in RNAcentral is "bacterial SSU rRNA". It matches the Rfam family "Bacterial small subunit ribosomal RNA", at positions 95 to 526 of the family's 1533-position model. Lineage: Bacteria; Bacillati; Bacillota; Clostridia; Eubacteriales; Clostridiaceae. The record is from RNAcentral.